GCAGUGGGUACGGGCAGACUAGAGUGCGGUAGGGGGAGAUUUGAAUUCCUGGUGUAGCGGUGGAAUGCGCAGAUAUCAGGAGGAACACCGAUGGCGAAGGCAGAUCUCUGGGCCGUAACUGACGCUGAGGAGCGAAAGCAUGGGGAGCGAACAGGAUUAGAUACCCUGGUAGUCCAUGCCGUAAACGUUGGGAACUAGAUGUAGGGGCCAUUCCACGGUUUCUGUGUCGCAGCUAACGCAUUAAGUUCCCCGCCUGGGGAGUACGGCCGCAAGGCUAAAACUCAAAGGAAUUGACGGGGGCCCGCACAAGCGGCGGAGCAUGCGGAUUAAUUCGAUGCAACGCGAAGAACCUUACCAAGGCUUGACAUAUACCGGAAACGUCCAGAGAUGGUCGCCCCGCAAGGUCGGUAUACAGGUGGUGCAUGGUUGUCGUCAGCUCGUGUCGUGAGAUGUUGGGUUAAGUCCCGCAACGAGCGCAACCCUCGUUCUAUGUUGCCAGCACGUUAUGGUGGGAACUCAUAGGAGACUGCCGGGGUCAACUCGGAGGAAGGUGGGGAUGACGUCAAAUCAUCAUGCCCCUUAUGUCUUGGGCUUCACGCAUGCUACAAUGGCCGAUACAAAGGGCUGCAAUACCGUAAGGUGGAGCGAAUCCCAAAAAGUCGGUCUCAGUUCGGAUUGAGGUCUGCAACUCGACCUCAUGAAGUCGGAGUCGCUAGUAAUCGCAGAUCAGCAACGCUGCGGUGAAUACGUUCCCGGGCCUUGUACACACCGCCCGUCAAGUCAUGAAAGUCGGUAACACCC
RNAcentral lists this ribosomal RNA (801 nucleotides) under Frondihabitans sp. Its description in RNAcentral is "bacterial SSU rRNA". It matches the Rfam family "Bacterial small subunit ribosomal RNA", at positions 623 to 1422 of the family's 1533-position model. Lineage: Bacteria; Bacillati; Actinomycetota; Actinomycetes; Micrococcales; Microbacteriaceae. The record is from RNAcentral.